AUGCAGGUAACUCUAAUUUCAAUCGUUAGGGUUUUGAUUGAUGAUUUGUUGUUUUUUUUCUUGCUUUUUAUAAUAGAUCUGGAUUCUGGAAACUGCUGCUUCAUGCUUACUACAAUUAGUAUUGACAUAGCCUUAACAUAAAUUGCUAUCAAAUAAGUGAAUGAUGUUAAAUUGUGGCGUAUACCAUACUAUUUCUUGGAAUCUAGCUUUUGAUUGGAUGGUUUGAACUUAAUUUGAUUGAUUUCUAAAUGAACAAACGAAGAUAUACCCGGAAAACAUUUUUUGCUGAUGCGAUUUAUAUAUUGGAUGAUAGAUAUUUGCCUGGUUCAGAUCAUUUGACUUUGGGAUUAAAGGAGCAUGAUGAUUUUGGGGAUUUAGGGUUCGACGGACGGUUUCAAGGUAAGUCAGUUCAAGGCUUGACAUUGGUGUUUGAUAUUGUGUAAUAAAUGUGAUUUUGAUUUGAUUAGUUAAAUCCAAAAUAAUCAAAUUAAGUGUGGAUAUUCAAGAUCAUUAUGGUUUGAGUGCACUACUGUUAUUCAAAGACUUGAAACAAGAAGACAUACUGGUAUUUGUAUA
This 576-nucleotide long non-coding RNA is filed under the name Helianthus annuus (common sunflower). Lineage: Eukaryota; Viridiplantae; Streptophyta; Magnoliopsida; Asterales; Asteraceae. The record is from RNAcentral.